RNAcentral lists this ribosomal RNA (234 nucleotides) under uncultured bacterium. Its description in RNAcentral is "partial 16S ribosomal RNA". It matches the Rfam family "Bacterial small subunit ribosomal RNA", at positions 118 to 351 of the family's 1533-position model. The record is from RNAcentral.
UGAGUAACCUGCCCUUAACUCUGGGAUAAGCCUGGGAAACUGGGUCUAAUACCGGAUAUGACUCCUCAUCGCAUGGUGGGGGGUGGAAAGCUUUAUUGUGGUUUUGGAUGGACUCGCGGCCUAUCAGCUUGUUGGUGAGGUAAUGGCUCACCAAGGCGACGACGGGUAGCCGGCCUGAGAGGGUGACCGGCCACACUGGGACUGAGACACGGCCCAGACUCCUACGGGGAGCAG